GUGUCAGCAGCCGCGGUAAUACGAAGGGGGCUAGCGUUGUUCGGAAUUACUGGGCGUAAAGCGCUCGCAGGCGGAUUGAUAAGUCGGGGGUGAAAUCCCGGGGCUCAACCUCGGAAUUGCCUUCGAUACUGUCUAUCUAGAGUCCGGGAGAGGUGAGUGGAAUUCCUAGUGUAGAGGUGAAAUUCGUAGAUAUUAGGAAGAACACCAGUGGCGAAGGCGGCUCACUGGCCCGGAACUGACGCUCAUGAGCGAAAGCGUGGGGAGCAAACAGGAUUAGAUACCCUUGUAGUCC
RNAcentral lists this ribosomal RNA (292 nucleotides) under uncultured bacterium. Its description in RNAcentral is "partial 16S ribosomal RNA". It matches the Rfam family "Bacterial small subunit ribosomal RNA", at positions 505 to 796 of the family's 1533-position model. The record is from RNAcentral.